UACGUAGGGGGCAAGCGUUGUCCGGAUUUAUUGGGCGUAAGGAGCGUGUAGGCGGCUUUACAGGUCCGUUGUGAAAACUCGAGGCUUAACCUCGAGCUGUCGGCGGAAACCAUCUGGCUAGAGUCCGGAAGAGGAGAAUGGAAUUCCCGGUGUAGUGGUGAAAUGCGCAGAUAUCGGGAAGAACACCCGUGGCGAAGGCGGUUCUCUGGGACGGUACUGACGCUGAGACGCGAAAGCGUGGGGAGCGAACAGG
Molecule: ribosomal RNA, 253 nt
Filed under: uncultured bacterium
Lineage: Bacteria
Description: partial 16S ribosomal RNA
Rfam family: Bacterial small subunit ribosomal RNA
Source: RNAcentral